This 433-nucleotide ribosomal RNA is filed under the name uncultured bacterium. RNAcentral's name for it is "bacterial SSU rRNA". It matches the Rfam family "Bacterial small subunit ribosomal RNA", at positions 355 to 786 of the family's 1533-position model. The record is from RNAcentral.
UGAGGAAUAUUGGUCAAUGGGCGGGAGCCUGAACCAGCCAAGCCGCGUGAGGGAAGAAGGCCCUAUGGGUCGUAAACCUCUUUUGUCAGGGAACAAAAGCGAGUAUGUAUACUAGUCUGAGUGUACCUGAAGAAAAAGCAUCGGCUAACUCCGUGCCAGCAGCCGCGGUAAUACGGAGGAUGCGAGCGUUAUCCGGAUUUAUUGGGUUUAAAGGGUGCGUAGGCGGCGACGCAAGUCAGCGGUAAAAGCCCGGGGCUCAACCCCGGCGAGCCGUUGAAACUGCAGUGCUAGAGAAGGCGAGAGGUACGCGGAAUGCGCAGUGUAGCGGUGAAAUGCUUAGAUAUUGCGCAGAACUCCGAUUGCGAAGGCAGCGCACUGGCGCCUGACUGACGCUGAGGCACGAAAGCGUGGGGAUCGAACAGGAUUAGAUACC